CAAUAAGUUUGAUGGGAUAGUAUAUGUACCAGGGAAAGGGUGGGGAAGGAGUAUCGAUGUGGAUAUCAACUUGGAAGCUCAGGCCAUGGAGAAUUUGGAGAAAGAUAAGGAGUUCCUCAUGGAGCAGCAGAAGUCCGAGAUCUCCUAGUU
Telopea speciosissima is the source of this 150-nucleotide long non-coding RNA. RefSeq lists it as uncharacterized. The transcript has 3 exons. The record is from RefSeq and is a predicted model, not a curated record. NCBI's taxonomy places the organism in Eukaryota, Viridiplantae, Streptophyta, Magnoliopsida, Proteales, Proteaceae.